Molecule: ribosomal RNA, 497 nt
Filed under: uncultured bacterium
Lineage: Bacteria
Description: partial 16S ribosomal RNA
Rfam family: Bacterial small subunit ribosomal RNA
Source: RNAcentral
GAUGAACGCUGGCGGCGUGCCUAAUACAUGCAAGUCGAGCGAACGGACGAGAAGCUUGCUUCUCUGAUGUUAGCGGCGGACGGGUGAGUAACACGUGGAUAACCUACCUAUAAGACUGGGAUAACUUCGGGAAACCGUAGCUAAUACCGGAUAAUAUUUUGAACCGCAUGGUUCAAAAGUGAAAGACGGUCUUGCUGUCACUUAUAGAUGGAUCCGCGCUGCAUUAGCUAGUUGGUAAGGUAACGGCUUACCAAGGCAACGAUGCAUAGCCGACCUGAGAGGGUGAUCGGCCACACUGGAACUGAGACACGGUCCAGACUCCUACGGGAGGCAGCAGUAGGGAAUCUUCCGCAAUGGGCGAAAGCCUGACGGAGCAACGCCGCGUGAGUGAUGAGGGUCUUCGGAUCGUAAAACUCUGUUAUUAGGGAAGAACAUAUGUGUAAGUAACUGUGCACAUCUUGACGGUACCUAAUCAGAAAGCCACGGCUAGCUACGUG